UACGUAGGUGGCAAGCGUUGUCCGGAUUUACUGGGCGUAAAGGGCGCGCAGGCGGCUCAUCAAGUCUGGGGUGAAAUCUCCCGGCUCAACCGGGAGGGGUCUCUGGAUACUGAUGGGCUUGAGGAAAGCAGAGGAAAGCGGAAUUCCCGGUGUAGCGGUGAUAUGCGUAGAUAUCGGGAGGAACACCAGUGGCGAAGGCGGCUUUCUGGGCUUUUCGUGACGCUGAGGCGCGAAAGCGUGGGGAGCGAACCGG
This 253-nucleotide ribosomal RNA is filed under the name uncultured bacterium. RNAcentral's name for it is "partial 16S ribosomal RNA". It matches the Rfam family "Bacterial small subunit ribosomal RNA", at positions 524 to 776 of the family's 1533-position model. The record is from RNAcentral.